RNA transcript from Mus musculus (house mouse), 2528 nucleotides. It is a transcript of the gene named solute carrier family 17 (sodium phosphate), member 1, with no coding region annotated. NCBI's taxonomy places the organism in Eukaryota, Metazoa, Chordata, Mammalia, Rodentia, Muridae. The transcript has 13 exons. The record is from RefSeq and is marked validated.
AUUCACAAGGUGGACAUUGAACAACUACUAACUUGGAGCUUUCAAUCAUUAAAAAAAAAAAAAUUUUCCAGAAGUUACGAGAAAUUGCUGGCUAAGUGAGCAGAUAGUGCGGACUUCCUGGGGUACACAGAUGAUCAACACACCUAAUAAUCACCACUCCAUCUGAGUAACAGAACAAAGCUCCUUGGCAAAGGUUUUCAAUCUUCAAGUUUUCUUUCCCACCCCUCCCCUUCCCUGCCUUCUCUCCCUUCCCUGCCUUCUCUGAUACACUGUCUUAUCAAGUAUCUCAGGCUUACCUCACACAUGUUGUGUAGCCCAGACUGGCCUCAAGCUCGUGAUCCUCUUGUCUCAGCCUCAAGUACAGAGUUGCCUCACAGGCCCUCACCACCUCUGACCUCAACAUUUAUUUAGGGGGGAAAUGGGUUUCAAGUCCCUGGAGCAUCUGCUAACUGUCAACUAUCGACAUGUAUUGAAAAGGCAUAAUAAAAUUAAAAUGCUUAAAGGAUAUUAGCGAAUCAUCAACAGUGGAAAUCAUCUGGCUCAAGGCUUAGAAGUUCCUAACUGAUCAGUAGAUUACAAUUCAAUUCAAAAGAGUUUCUUCAGGGCUGAAAGGUUUGGAAGAGCCAGAAGCUGAACCAGAAGCCUCAGAACAUAUCACAGCUUUGAGGGACAGGCCAUAAGAAAAGGUGCAGCUUUCUCAACACAUCAAAGUUCAAAGAGUGGAUGGAGACCAAGCCCAGCAACAAGAAGAUAAAUCUCAAAUGGAGAACCAGUGCCUCCCCAAGAAAGUUCCAGGGUUCUGUUCCUUCCGGUAUGGACUGGCUAUCCUUCUGCACUUCUGUAACAUUGCCAUCAUGGCCCAGAGAGUGUGCCUGAACCUCACCAUGGUAGCCAUGGUGAACAACACAGGGUCACCCCAUUUAUCUAACGAAUCUGUAGUGGAGAUGUUGGACAAUGUAAAGAACCCUGUGUAUUCCUGGAGUCCUGAUAUCCAAGGGCUUAUUCUCAGUUCUGUCUUCUUUGGUAUGGUCGUGGUUCAGGCUCCUGUCGGGUACCUAUCUGGAAUAUACCCAAUGAAGAGAAUAAUUGGGUCUUCACUGUUCCUCAGCUCUUUGAUGUCCUUGCUCCUCCCACCUGCUGCACAAGUCGGAGCUGCUUUAGUCAUUGUGUGUCGAGUACUCCAGGGAAUAGCCCAGGGAACAGUGUCAACAGGCCAGCAUGAAAUAUGGGUCAAAUGGGCACCUCCCUUAGAACGAGGCAGACUUACCUCUAUGACUCUAUCAGGGUUUGUAAUGGGACCAUUUAUUGUCCUGCUUGUGAGUGGCUUCAUCUGUGAUCUUCUGGGCUGGCCCAUGGUCUUCUACAUCUUUGGUAUUGUUGGGUGUGUUCUGAGUCUUUCCUGGUUCUUUCUAUUCUUUGAUGACCCCAAGGACCACCCGUAUAUGAGCAGCAGUGAGAAGGACUACAUCAUAUCCUCCCUCAUGCAACAGGCCAGCUCAGGCAGACAAUCCCUGCCAAUCAAAGCUAUGCUUAAAUCUCUUCCACUCUGGGCCAUUAUCCUCAAUAGCUUUGCUUUCAUAUGGUCGAACAGUCUCCUGGUUACAUACACGCCGACAUUUAUCAGCACUGUGCUUCAUGUUAAUGUUAGAGAGGGAGUUUCUGUCCCGUGAUCUUCAUCAUGUGCUUGCUCUACCUGAGCUACAACUUCUACAGCACCGUCAUUUUCCUGACACUUGCCAACUCAACACUUAGCUUUUCCUACUGCGGACAACUUAUCAAUGCCUUGGAUAUUGCUCCCAGAGACUUGCUAUAGUCAGCCCUGGCCUCAGUGGUGCUGUCUGGCAGCGCCCAGCAGCAUGUAAGAUAUUAUGGAUUUCUUAAGGCAGUCACAGCUUUAAUUGGAAUGUUUGGGGGCCUGAUUUCUUCAACUCUUGCUGGGUUGAUUCUUAAUCAGGAUCCGGAAUAUGCUUGGCAUAAAAUUUUCUUCUUGAUGGCAGGCAUUAAUGUGACAUGCCUGGUUUUCUAUUUUCUAUUUGCUAAAGGAGAAAUUCAGGACUGGGCUAAAGAAAUAAAAACCACACGACUGUGAAGGGAAGACAUGUGAAAAUGGCAUUGAUAACCUUUCACUGGACAAGAAAGACAACUUGAGAAAAAUCUUCUAGCCUAGACUAAUGUCUCUGAAGUGUUGGACUCUUCAGUGACAUCUCUCUGUGUUUUGUUUCCUUUUUCUACAAAAGUUAGUAGAAAAAGGAGAAGCUGAGAAGCCUGAGGUCAGCAUCCUUAUAGAAAGAAAGAGGAUCCUUCAUGGGACUGCAGUCCUGGGAGAGUCGUGAACACCUGGAGACAGGUAGCAUGAGGCUCCUGAACGCUCAGUCGCACCCACUUCUGUCUGAGUGAUUCUUUUGCACUGUGUAUUGUAUGUAACAAGUUAUACUUCUGACUUUAAAGGAGGAUUUAUUUAUGUCUUCCUCUAUGAUCUAAUAAACAAACAUAAGACAAAAUUUUACUCUACAACUUCAGGAAAAGUA